This 469-nucleotide long non-coding RNA is filed under the name Felis catus (domestic cat). Its description in RNAcentral is "lncRNA (ENSFCAG00000053627.1)". The record is from RNAcentral. Lineage: Eukaryota; Metazoa; Chordata; Mammalia; Carnivora; Felidae.
GCUCUCCCAGAUCAUCAAUCAAGUUGAUGUUUGCUUUACCUCAGCAAUAAAAGACUAAGGCAGGUGCUGUGCCCACAAGCCUCCUUGCGUGUCAGAGAAUGUUCUUCUCCGGUCUCACCAGCCUCCUCCCGAGCUGUGGAGCAGAAGCCGCACUUUGCAAGAAGCCAUCACAAAAGGCACCAGUACUGAACAAACAGCAACACAACGCUCCAUCAAAUAGAUGGUGGAAAAAGCGGAAGGGCCAGAAACUAAAUCAGGACAGUGCCUUUUACGAACAGGCUCCAAGCCUUUCCAUUAGAAAAAAAAAGAAAAAGAGUUAUCAGAUGAGUAAACACAGCCUACCUCUGAAUGAGGAUUCAACGAUCCUUAGAAGGGUUAUCAGCCAGGCCAACUAGCCUCGGAGAGCUCAUGGAAACCCCUCUUAUCUCCUGGAAAAAUAAAUAUGAGAAACACAAUAAAGCUACUCUCA